This 414-nucleotide ribosomal RNA is filed under the name uncultured microorganism. RNAcentral describes it as "bacterial SSU rRNA". It matches the Rfam family "Archaeal small subunit ribosomal RNA", at positions 459 to 872 of the family's 1478-position model. The record is from RNAcentral.
CAGCCGCCGCGGUAAUACCGGCGGCCCGAGUGGCGGCCACUAUUUUUGGGCUUAAAGCGUCCGUAGCCGGGUUGGUUAGUCUCCCGGGAAAUCUGGCCGCUUAACGGUCAGAAUUCCGGGAGAUACUGCCAGCCUAGGGACCGGGAGAGGCCGAGGGUAUUCCCGGAGUAGGGGUGAAAUCCUAUAAUCCCGGGAGGACCACCUGUGGCGAAGGCGCUCGACUGGAACGGGUCCGACGGUGAGGGACGAAGGCCAGGGUAGCAAACCGGAUUAGAUACCCGGGUAGUCCUGGCUGUAAACGAUGCGGACUUUGUGUCGGACAAGCUAUGAGCUUGUCCGGUGCCGGAGGGAAACCGUUAAGUCCGCCGCCUGGGGAGUACGGCCGCAAGGCUGAAACUUAAAGGAAUUGGCGGG